GCCCUGUUAGUGUAACGGUAAUCACAUCCGUUCCAUAUAACGCUUCCGAUGCAGGUUGCCGACGGAGAAUGCAGGUUCAACUCCUGCACAGGGCU
Molecule: non-coding RNA, 95 nt
Organism: Marasmius fiardii PR-910
Lineage: Eukaryota; Fungi; Basidiomycota; Agaricomycetes; Agaricales; Marasmiaceae
Source: the annotation of a GenBank genome assembly